Molecule: ribosomal RNA, 227 nt
Filed under: uncultured bacterium
Lineage: Bacteria
Description: partial 16S ribosomal RNA
Rfam family: Bacterial small subunit ribosomal RNA
Source: RNAcentral
UACGGAGGGUGCAAGCGUUAUCCCGGAUUCACUGGGUUUAAAGGGAGCGUAGGUGGGGUGGUAAGUCAGUGGUGAAAUCUCCGGGCUUAACUCGGAAACUGCCGUUGAUACUAUCAUUCUUGAAUAUUGUGGAGGUAAGCGGAAUAUGUCAUGUAGCGGUGAAAUGCUUAGAUAUGACAUAGAACACCGAUAGCGAAGGCAGCUUGCUACACAAUUAUUGACACUGA